GACGUGACUUCAGAGUUUGAUCCUGGCUCAGGAUGAACGCUAGCGGCAGGCUUAACACAUGCAAGUCGAGGGGCAGCGUGAAGAAGUAGCAAUACUGAUUUGACGGCGACCGGCGCACGGGUGCGUAACGCGUAUGCAACCUACCUCUAACAGGGGAAUAACACUGAGAAAUUGGUACUAAUACCCCAUAAUACCUUAGGAGGCAUCUUCUGAGGUUGAAAGUUCCGGCGGUUAGAGAUGGGCAUGCGUUGUAUUAGCUAGAUGGUGAGGUAACGGCUCACCAUGGCGACGAUACAUAGGGGGACUGAGAGGUUAACCCCCCACACUGGUACUGAGACACGGACCAG
This 347-nucleotide ribosomal RNA is filed under the name uncultured bacterium. RNAcentral describes it as "bacterial SSU rRNA". It matches the Rfam family "Bacterial small subunit ribosomal RNA", at positions 1 to 334 of the family's 1533-position model. The record is from RNAcentral.